AAGGAAAAAUUUUGUCCUAGCUAAGAACAUAUGAGAACAUUUGAACACAUAUGCAAACUAAUAACACAUUAAAGUAGACAUGCAUUCAAAAUAAUUCUAAAACCCAUGACUUUCAAAGCCUAGUGAAUGGUGAACCACAAGACUCUUUAACAAUAUUAAAGAGAGGGAAGGAUUUAGAGAUUCAUUACCCUUGAAGCUCAUCUUUGUUUACAUAAGGGAUUCACCCAAGUGGAGGGCCUUCAAGUCACCUCCUAGCUCCUUGGAUCUUCCUUGUGUUUUUCUUCCUGUUGAUGCUCCUUUGCUCCUUGAGGAUGUGAGGAAAGGAUCUCUAAGAACACCAAAGAUUUGGUGUCUCUAAGUCUGCACACCAAGGAUGAGAUGUGAAGAUGAAAUGGAUGACUUAGAGAAAAAAAGAUUACUAGCUAAUUCUUCCCUAAGUGGCUGGCCUCCUUUUAGAGAAAAAGAGAGAAAGUGUUUCUCUUCUUUUCUUCAAGAAAAACCUAAUGAGAAAAAGCUAUAAAGUUGACUUUAUACUACAUCACAUGUGAGUGGCAAACUUGUAAUUAAUUCAAGU
RNAcentral lists this long non-coding RNA (574 nucleotides) under Malus domestica (apple). RNAcentral describes it as "long non-coding RNA (MDOM_LNC012898)". Lineage: Eukaryota; Viridiplantae; Streptophyta; Magnoliopsida; Rosales; Rosaceae. The record is from RNAcentral.